UCGGGACGACUCAUUGUCAUCUGUUCGUUGAUGGAGAAUGUAGUCAUUUUGGCGCUUUUUAUACACGUGUUGAUGGACCGACCAUUGGAUAUUUCGACCUAAUUUUUAUGCAAAAUUGGAACUGAACAGCCUAAAUGUGCCGAAAUGCAGUUAUUGUGCUUUAUCGUCCCAGUCUGAAUUUGGACCUUUCGAUUCUUUUCUGCCACGAGGAUCUCUGCAACUGUCAACGCCCUGCUAGACGCCAACUCAAAGGAAUUUUGGCGUUGAUACUUUUUGGGAGAACCGGAAGCCAAGAUUAUUGUCCGGAAAGUUUAUAAAAAUGCUGUGCCGUACCCUGAAAAAAGAAAAGAAACGGGUUACAAUCCAUUUUGCGACUUUGCCGACAUCCCCUCGGGCUAGAAAUAUUCCGUUGCCGAUCCACAUAGAUUUAGAAAUCCAUACUGAACACAAAUAAAUAUUAAAUAAAUCCCCCGCGCCAAUAAAAAAGAAGAAGGAAGAAGAAAAAAAGAAGUAUCAAGAAUUAUAGACUAUAGACGAGAGUCUGAGAGUCUUGAGUGAGAGCUCUGUAUAUGGUUAUUUUUCCAUGUGUACUAUACGGCCGGUAUAUCUAUCGUGAGUGAAUGCCGAAAGUGCAUCGAGUCAAUCCCCCCCUCAGUGGAUGUUGGCCAAGAUCCAAGUUGGGUGGACGUUCCGUUCUCCGACCAAGAGGAACAGGAACAUUAUCACGCGGAACGACAAUAAGAAAAGAAACGAAAAAAGUUGAGAGUCAGAGAGACAGGGGAGAACCGGUUAUGACUGAGGCGAACUUUGACCGCCCGCUGGUUUUUUGGCCAUAUAGAAAAACCUCUUCGCUAGCUGCGAUGGCCGUGGAAUUCCGCCUGGGUCGGAUCGCUCGUUCGGUCUCAUGCGAGCGUCGAGUCGAAAAAACUGGCCUUUUGCCUGCAUCAUCGGCCAACAACAACCAGAAGAAUAAAAAGAAGAAGAAAAAAUGAAACGGUUCGCGUGCGUUGAUCCUGUGAAGGACCAACAAGGUAACUCACUUAUAUAGAGAUGUUGUUGGUGUGUGUGUGCACCUCUCUCCUAUUUAUUAUUAUCAUACGGCGGAGAGAUUUCUUUUGGGGACGCAAACAGCAACAAUCUGAUAACAGUUAGCGAGACUCUGGAGGACGACGGGGAAAUCGUAUAUAUACAUAAAGAGGAAAGAGUAUAGAGAGAGCUAGAGACAAUUGACUUAACGUUCGGUUGGUUGGACGCCCGAGUGCGUCGUCGUCGUCGUCUUUUUCGUCCCUUUUUCUUUUCCUUUUUCUUUUCUCCCGAACGGAUUAUCAAAAGUCAAGUGCUUUGGUCACGUGAGGACGCAGACGCCGAGGGUAUAUAUAAUACGUCUAUACCUUUUUUUUUCCCCGAAAGUUUCUUCAUCUUUUGUGUAUGCGUCCGAGACAACCGGUGAAGAAGAAAAAUGUUUUGACAUGACAAGCGCUUCUCUGUGAUGUUUGACAAUUUCCUCUUCUUCUUCUUCUUCUUCUUCAUGCGGGUAUUUGACUCUAUUGUCUCCUUAAUUGUCGUCGUUAUCUUCUUCUUCUUUAGCCUCGACUCUUCGGCGGUUUUUCUUCAACUUCUUCUUUUUUCUGAUUGCACGCCAUGUCGCCGUUUGCGGAGAUAAUUGUCGACUUUUCUUCUUUUUCUUUUUGUCGAGGCUUUUAAAUUAUGAUAGACGUUAGGAAAAAGAGACGUGGCGGUCUUGUCCUCCUCGUAAUAUGUGAUGAGUCGAGUCGGGGCGUGACCUCUACCAUCUUCUUCUUUCGUGUGUGGUAAUUCCUCGUUGGUUUGCCGAGCAAAAUAAACCCGUUUCUUUUACUUUGGCUAGAAAGAAAAUAUAAAAUAAAA
This 1887-nucleotide long non-coding RNA is filed under the name Daphnia pulicaria. RNAcentral describes it as "uncharacterized LOC124313913, transcript variant X1". Lineage: Eukaryota; Metazoa; Arthropoda; Branchiopoda; Diplostraca; Daphniidae. The record is from RNAcentral.